This 73-nucleotide transfer RNA is filed under the name Crassvirales sp. RNAcentral's name for it is "tRNA-Arg". It matches the Rfam family "tRNA". Rfam says of the family: Transfer RNA (tRNA) molecules are approximately 80 nucleotides in length. Their secondary structure includes four short double-helical elements and three loops (D, anti-codon, and T loops). Lineage: Duplodnaviria; Heunggongvirae; Uroviricota; Caudoviricetes; Crassvirales. The record is from RNAcentral.
GCAUCCAUAGCUCAAUGGACAGAGCAUUGGUCUUCUAAACCAAGUGUUGUGAGUUCGAGUCUCACUGGAUGCA